RNAcentral lists this long non-coding RNA (546 nucleotides) under Oryctolagus cuniculus (rabbit). RNAcentral's name for it is "lncRNA (ENSOCUG00000036361.1)". The record is from RNAcentral. Lineage: Eukaryota; Metazoa; Chordata; Mammalia; Lagomorpha; Leporidae.
AUGUAUAGGCUUCCAAAAUCUGGAUAUCCUCUCCCAGGGCUUGCUGAUGUGUCUGAGAAGGGUUUACAGUCAUGGGGGACACACUACUGGAGCCUGGGAGGUCCAUGCCUGUGCAGCCCACCACAGAGCAGAGAGCUCACUGCAUGCUGCCACUUCUGGAACAAAAGAGAGCAGUUUCAAGACUCUGCUGGUUCCAGGUGGCAAGCUGCCAGUGUCAUCCUCCAGUCAUCAGAUUCCGAAGUGAGACUAGCAGAUUUCUCAGAUGAUCCACACUUCCCAUCUCGGAAGAGAGAAUGGUCAUCUUGUGCAGCAAUGAAUGGAAGAUCUGCUUUGCUGUUUGUCUCUAUCUCUCUCUCCUUGUCCUGCUGACUUUCAGAUAAGUUAGAUUUAAAAAUUUAAAAUACUCAAUAGAAAAAAGGAAUUAUAGGAUAAAACAUUUUGGGGAAAGGAUUUUGAAAUCUUGCACUUUUUUUUCAUAAAAUGUAUUUCCUGUAAACUCUUGAACUACUUUCAGAUAUCAAUAAAAAUGUAGUUACUGUGUUUCCA